Stegostoma tigrinum is the source of this 9178-nucleotide long non-coding RNA. RefSeq lists it as uncharacterized. Lineage: Eukaryota; Metazoa; Chordata; Chondrichthyes; Orectolobiformes; Stegostomatidae. The record is from RefSeq and is a predicted model, not a curated record. The transcript has 3 exons.
CGCUUUUCCUUUUGGAUAUUUUUGAUUUUAUACAAAUGCAUACUUCUUUGAAAAGCAAGCAUUCAUUUGUUAAAUAUUAGCCAUUUCUUAUCUUUUGUCAAACUUUUAAGAUUCAUUUUGCCAAUCCACUACAACCAACUUCCUCCUUACAUCUUCAAAGCUGCCCUUGUUUAGAUUUAAAAUGCGAAAGCAUAGAUGCAACCUGCUCAACCUUUCUUCGUAAGACAGUUCCUUUAUCUGAGGAAUGAACCCAGUGAACUUUAUCUGAAUUGCUUCUAAAAAAAAGUUUCUCCUUAAGGAAACCAAACUGUUCAUAUGCACCAGGUAUGGUUUUACUUUUGCCCUGUAUUUCCAGUCUGCUUGCAUAAAAGGCCAAUUUUACAUUUGUCUUCCAAAUUACUUCCUGUGUACACAUGCUUUUCUUUCCUGCUUUGUGUACAAGGGCACACAGACCCCUGUGUACUGCAGAAUUCUCCAGUCACUCUCCAUCUAAAUAACAUUCUGCUUUUCAAUUCUUCCUGUUCACAUUUUCCCACAUUAUACUCCAUCUGCCAAACCUUUGCCAUUUACUAAAACAACUACACUUAUUUGUGGACAAUGUGUAUCUUCCUUGCAUUUGCUUUGCUACCUUUCUUUGGACCAUAUGCACAUUGCAUGAAUUUGCACGAUCAACAAUGAUCAACUAUUCUGCUGUGAGACGGGCCAGUGCCAGUAUUAAUUAAAGGCUCGGCACCCAAAUUAAAUUUGGGGAGCUUUAUGAACUUCUGCUAUUUCAGUUUGUCUGGAACCCGUGUGCAUUUUGUCUCCAGCAGGAUGUUUUACCUGAUAGAACAAAUCUUAUUUUUCCUCUGAUAGCAUAAGAAAGUAGGAAAGAAGAAUUCAGUGGGCAUUCAAAACUUUUCACUAGUAUAUAAGUUCACUGAUGUCCUUUGGAGAAGGAAACUACCAUCCUUACCUGGUCUGGCCUACAUGUGACUCCACACCCACAACAAUGUGAUUGACUCUUAACUGUCCACUGAGCAAUUAAGGAUGGGCAAUAAAUGCUGCCUAUUCGGUGACACCCUCAUCCCAUGAAUAAAGGAAAAAAAAGGCACAUUAGUGCUUGGGCUCAUAUUAAACUAUUUGGUUACAAAGAGUAGUGUGCUUUUAAUAGUGUACCAUGCUUCAAGUAAUCACAGGUAAGAUGGCAUCAGAGAUGUUUACAUACUCAGGUGACAUGCUAUGACAUAGUGAUUAUACCAUGAGCACAUCUCUUAAAGGUACACUAACCAUGAGGCAUUAUAUGACAUGCACUUCCAAAAAGGUAAAAAAUUAUCCCGGAAGAUAUAAAUGGUUGCACAUAGGCAUGUGUUGUUAAUUUGAUAAUUAUACAAACAUAUUUUAUAAAAAGGUUAUAAGAUUAACAUUUCAGAUUUCAACAUAACAUUUCAGAUGACUGGCAACUCAUCCUGAUCUGGUGAUCUCAUCCAUCUGGAGAGAUGCACUUUGCCGUUUGUUGUACUCGUUUGACAACUUGAUUGUUUUAUUAGCAGUUGGUGUCACUUAACAUCAUCACACAGUCAUCAUCAUUGGAGCAUUCUUUCUUUGUCCCUUCAUGUAUGAUUGGUGUGUUGCACAUCAUUUUAAGUUGAUUUCUGUUCCCUCACAAUAUAAUACAAUGAUGAAUAUCGACUUCGUAUGAUCUGUACUGGUUAACUUUGCUGAUACCUAAGUAUUUUAUUUCAAGCUUACAAUUUGUUCUUUGUGCACAGUCAUGUGCACAGUCUUUACUCCCUUGUUGAUGAUGUAUCUCUUUCAUUCUACUUGGUCUUUGAAGAAGAAUAUCUAUUGCCUCAGAAUAGUUAGAUACUUGUUUGCUGUACAAGAUUGUUCAUACUUAUGAUCAUAUAUUGUGACAGCGAUGGUAAACUUAUCUCUAUUGGUGUUCCAUGAAAAUGUAGUAAUGGAAUAUGAAAAGCUUGACCAUAUUCUGAAAUUUGUUGAUCUGAGUCUCAUUGACAUAUUUAUGUUUAUGCAUCUUGGUUACAUACGCUUUGUUCUAGGCUCUGGUUAAGUUUUAAGUACCCAGGUUUCCUUAUAUGUAUGCCCGACACUGCUUACUACCGCAUGCUUUGCUGAUAUAAAGAAAAGCUGGUUAGCUUUUCAGUAAGUGUGACAAACCAUAUCAAUUACGAAUUUUGUUGAGUCAUGUACUUUCCUGACCAUAGCAAUAAUGUUGGCUGCACCAAAAACUGCAAAUUUUAUUGGUCUGCUAAUAUGAGACUUCACACUCCCAUGCACCUACAAGUAAUGUAUUAAUGGUACGGCCCUUUGAUUGCCCAAAAUUUUCUUCCUAAAGGCUUGAUUAGUGUAGAGGCAAUAACUAACUCAAUGAACCUCAGUAACAGUUCCUAUUUGGAAAAGUCAAAGUCAUGCCCUAUGCUGCUAUAUCAUGUGACAAACUGGUCAAUAGACUCUUGGGGCUGCUGUUACCUAUCAUUAGUUGAACCCUGUAAUUCCAAAGACAUUUUUACCCUGAUCUAGCCUUCAUGAGCUUUUCAUAUAUUUUCUGGAACUUUCUGAUCAUUUGUGGAUUGAGAAGUAUUACAUUCACAGAGACAUCAGUGUCUGGGUUCACAUUGAGCCAUUAGCUUACAAAGAGCAUUAUGCUUUCACUUGCUUGUCAUGUUUCCUAUGUGUGAUCAUCUUCAGCAGCUUCAUCACUGACCUUCCCUCUAUCAGGAGUGGAAAAAUUUAGUGAUGAUUGUACAACUUUCAGCAUGUUGGUAACUUAUUAAAUACUGAAGCAGUUUGAAGCCAUAUGCAGCAAGGCCAGACAACAUUCAGGCUUGGGCUGACAUGUGGUACGUAAUGUUUUGAUCCACACAAAGGUCAAGUCCAAAAAUAGAGAAUCUAAUCUUGUCUCCUUUGUAUUCCAUCAUCAAACUCCCUAUUAUCAACCUUCUGGGGUGUUAUCAUUAACCAGAAACUGAACUGGACUAGCCAUGCCAUAGUUAAUAGAGCACGCAAGAUGUUAGGAAUCUUGUGGAAAGUCACUCACCUCUUGACUUCAAAGCCUGUUCAUCAUUCACAAGGCACAAGGAGUAUGAUGGAACACUUACUUGGAUGAGUGCCUUCCAGUAAUACUCAAGAAGCUCAACACCAUCUGGGACAAAAUAGCCCUCUUGAUUGGUGUCACACCACAUUAAACAAUGGCAUCAUCACCAUUGAUGCAGUGGCAGAGAUGUGUACCAUCUACAGGGACACAGAAACAAGUCACCGAGGCUCCUCUGAUAGCACCUUCCAAACCCUAAACCUCUACCACCUAGAUGGACAAGGAAAGCAGAUACUUGGCGAUUCCACCACCUGCAAGUUCCCAUCAAACUAGUCAUCAUCAUUGGAACUAUAUUCCCUAACAGUAUUUCAACAAAUUAACUUCACCUUCCAAAAUAUGUCCUUAUAUCCGAUAAUAAUUUGGACACUAGGAAUUUCCUUUGUGCACCAGUUGCUUUCUUUGACUAGGAAAAGGCACAUGAAUAAAUAGCAUCUGUAACGGGAUCAACUGCAAUCUUACUAGACAUGCUGGCUGCAUUUCUAAACUACGCCACCUAUUGUUUUUGCUUUCAAAUUCUAACCUUUUAAUGUAAGUAUGAACCAAUUGAAGUGUAAUUAUCUUAGGGAACCUAUCAUUUUCUCAAGUAUAAUUUCUUUCUUCCCCUAUUUAACAAUUUAAAAAUUCAGGGCCCUGAAUAUAUGGCAGGAUAUGAGUACGAACAGAAUCAAGGCUGCUUCUUCCCUUCUGUUAUCAGACUUUGGACCAGACCUCUCAAAUGUGAUCUUUCUCUCCCUGCAUCUUCUCUGCAGCUGUGACACUGUAUUCUAUACUCUGUAUGUUAUAAACUGCCUGUAGAGCAAAAGAAAAUACUUUUCAUUGUACCUCAGUACAUGUGACAACAAUAAAUAAAAUCAACUGGGACAGCUCACAUCUCCUAUGUUCAAACUAAUAACUCCUCCUGGCUAUCUAGUGUACGGAUGAAUUUCCUCUUUGCUGUAAUGGCAGUAGCUCAUCGACAAGAUAUGACCCUGAACCUGAGGUUAUUGUAAUCUAAAUUAUAUGGGCAGAUUUUGACGGUAUUGCACUCUCACCAGAUAGUAUGCCUCCUGUGCAGUGGGGGAAGUGUAAGUUGCAGCAGUAACUGUAUAAUGACAACUUGCCAACAGAAGUAAUGAAAUUGUUUUCUUUAAAUUUCGCUUUCAAUUCCGUGCCUUGCCUGGUGGACUUUGGAAUUUUCGUGUUUGCGUUAAGUGUGGGUGGUCCUUUAACUUAUGGCCAAGAGAAACCCUGAGGACAAGAAUGUACCAACAUUCCAAGCGAUCAACAUUGUUAAAUCUGUGCAUGACAGAAAAUGUUGUAAAAUGUACAACAGUUAAGCAUUAACAACAUUUCUAGCACCAUUCAGGAUGGAUAUACCAGAAGUGGCAGAGUAUAUUAAGAAACUGUACAAAAUGUCUCCCCAUCUUUUUACUAUGCAACCUGCCUAAAUUGUCAAAGUAAUCUGAAGAAAUGAAUUUGGGUCGUAAACUGAGGAAGUUCUGAGAAAGGGUCACCGGACCUGAAACAUUAACUCUGAUUGUUUUCUUCACUGAUGCUGACAGACCUAGUGAGCUUUUCCAGCAAUUUCUGUUUUUGUGACUGAUUUACAGCAUCCACAGUUGUUUGUGUUUUUAUUGGAACAUAAACUGCUUUUUCUAAAUCUUCCUUUGUUCCCUGCCUUUCUGCUCAGUAAACUUUUCCCCAAAUUCUCUCUACUGAUGUUAAUCUAGUUCCACCACUCAGUCAGAUUGUCAAACAGUAGACGUUAUUAUUCAUUAUAUCUCUGCUGACUCCUCAUUGCCCCAGGCUUUGUAACUCCUCCUUACUGAUAUCAACUGUCACCUUUUGGAACAUUAAGAAAAAAGUUAUGGAAAAUUAAAGAGGACCAUCUAGUGUUUAAAACAAUGCAGAGGUUUGCCUGUAAAGAUUCCCAUUAAAUCAUUAAACAAUGCUUCCUCAGCUAAUACAUUGCAGAGUCCAUUAUGUAUUUCAAUAAGAGUUAUGAGAAGAAGGCCCUUUGCUACAAUUUUUGGAUGGUUUGUCUCUUUUUACCAUUUUAGUAAAGGCAUCUCCUUUGUAGAAUGAUCCUGUUCACUUGUAAGUACUUUAACCUUUACCAUUUAAUGCACAAGGCAGCAGUACUUGAAACUGAGUGGAAAGUGAUUAAGCAGGUGACAAGGCUGAGAAGGGGGCAUGACAUUAGUGUCUGGUCCUCCCCUCACUGAUAAAGAUUAACAAAAGGAUCAAACCAAAUAAAAUACCUUUCCUGUUGAUCAUCAUCUUCCAUCUUAACCUUACCAACUCCAUUUAAGGAGAAGAACAACAUACAAGGGGACGAAAGGCAAAACAUCUCUGUUUAAGAGAGGAAUCUCUUUAAGCACUGAAAAUGCUCGGUGGCUUAGUGCACUGGCAUGUGUUCUUGCAACAUCUGAGAAAACGAUUGGCCAGUCAUUUCCGAUGUUGAACAUUCAAAAGUGGCUUUUAAGGAACAUAUAGAACAAUGGAAUUUUCCAAUCUCUUGGAAUAAACUCUGUUGAAGAUUUCAUCUAAGUCCAAAAGCUGUCCUUGUAAUUCCUUAGCUGGAUGGCAUCGUUGGUGCUGAAUGGUUACAUGGUGGAAUAAAUACACUCAUCAAUAAAGUUAAGGUCAGAUUACAAAUGACAUACAAAUACUAGCUGUAUUGGUACUGAAAAAUAUGGACUAACUUAAAUAUUUCAGACAAUAAGGAAUUGCAUUUACCGGAAUUAACUCGAUAAGUUCUGUCCAGAGUUCUCAGCCAACAAGGCCCUAUAUCCACAGCUUCUGAACUUUGGAAGUUGCCCAGUUUUCAGGAGGCUUCAAAACAAAAUUCUUUAUUCUCCAAAAUCCAGACAAUCAUGACUUCUGCUCCCACCAUAUUAGCCAUCAGAGCAUUUUAUUAUAAACAAAAUAUAUUAGGUCUGAAUACAACUAAAUUUCAGUGCAAAGAAGAACACUUGGAUGUUGCUUUUUCACAGUUUACAGUGCCGUUCUUCCUAUGAUAAGUGCAGGGUUUGAACCUCUGAUUUAGAUUUACUAAAAGCAACUGUGGCUUUCAAAAAUAUUUGUUUUACUAAGUGUUUUGAUCCAACACACGGUAAUUUCCUUAAAGGUUAGAGAAACUUCACAGAAGGAGUCUGGCAGUGAAUCGCCUUCACAAACGGAAAUGGGAGAAGCUAAUACUGAUGGCAACCAUAUUUAUUGGUGUUCUUUGCCUUGACUGUCAGCAGUGUUGACUCAGCUUGUUCUGUUUUUCUAUUCUAGGUGGGCAUCACCACCAUCAAAAAGGGAGACUUCAGUCAUGUUGCUAUAUCUCAUGUGGUGUACAAUAAUGCCCUUGCAUUACCAGUUUUCCUUCAAAGGAGAAAACGUCACAUGUUGGGACAGAGAGGACAAGAACCAGAAGUUGAGGUGGCUGACACUCAUGUUCACAUUACAUGAGUAAAAGAUCCUUGAACUGCUGGAAAGAGACAAAGACUGCUUAUAUACAAAUGCCACAACCAUCAUGUCAAGACAGCCAAGCACCAACGGUACCUACUCAAUCACUGCCCAAAGGACCAGCCCCUUAGCCAAUCAACUACUCUUAAGUAGAAACUACAUAUCCUUCGGAGGAUUUACCAGCAAGGUUUUCUCCUGUACCCUUCAUCAGCUCAGAUGUUGGCACCUUGCUAGGAUGUCUUUCUAGAUUGGAUUCAGGGACACUCUCCACAUCUCAGGCACGUCUUUGUAGCUAGUUGAGGAAAACAUACCCCUGGCUGAUGGCAUGCAGAGUACUGCCAGAGACGAGGUACUUGUUCGAGCCCUGACAAAAGAUUGCUCCAUGUUGUCAACCAUUAAUAAUUUUGAAGAAGCGCACAGUCACAGGAGCAGCAGGCAGCUUUGUAGGAGACCUGUGAGGACCUGUCUCAAAGGUUGGAUAAGUCUGGUGUUAUCAGUACAUUGCUGGCUCUGGAAUGCUUAUGCAUGACUGUCUUCAUGGUCAGGUUGACAGAUACCAUGUAAAGUUAGGUCUAAUUGAACACUCAGCAGCUGCUGAGAAUGUAUGCUGACCUGCGCUCCAUCACCUUAGCCAUUGUGGUUCAACAUUAGCAACAAGUGAGAGGCAGAAAAGGGGCCUCAAACGGAUUCAAAUGGCCUGUCCUCUCGAGGAUGCAGAAUGGUGCCUGUAGGCACAUGGACAGAGGAGGUCCCACAUACAGCACACCCUCUCCUCUAAGGAGUUACCUCUCAGGACAUUCCAGAGGUGCCACACCCCCUCUACCUUUAUACUGCCCGUGAUUUGCAAUGCUGUGGAAAUUGCAAAUGAGGAGGGUGGGCCUGUAUCUGGGCAGGAUAUGCACAGCAUGUCAGAGUUAUAGAAUUAUACAACACAGAAACAGUCCUUUUGGUGCACCAUGUCGAACCAAACUCGCUCCGCCCACUGCCUCCACAGCCAGCAGCUCCAAAGGAGACAGCAGCACACAUCCCUGCCGGGUCUUCACCAUUCCCCCAGACCUCCCCUUUACUGAGGAUGAAUGGUCAGUCCUCAGUAAAGGGCUCACCUUUGUCCCCUCCAACCAAACAUCAACAAAUACCGGUUACUCUUGGAUGUUGUACAGUUUUUCCACUGCCUCCGCCUCCGCGCUUACUUCUUCAACUGUGAGCCUAACCCUCCCUCUACUGACCCCCUUCUCCCACCUCCAAUGCACUCCCUCCUCCUGGACUUCAGCCCAAGGCCUCCUACCCUCCCUCGACCUCUUCAUCUCCAACUGCCGUCAGGACAUCAAUCGCCUUAACCUCUCCACCCCUCUCACCCACUCCAACCCUCCCCUGCAGAACAUGCAGCCCUCCGCUCCCUCUGCUCCAAUCCCAAUCUCACCAAGAAAACCAUGGACAAGGGAGGUGCGGUUGUAGUAUGGCUCACUGACCUCUAUAUCAUUGAGGCCAGAUGCCGACUCUCCGAUACCUCGUCCUACCGCCCUCUUGAUCAUGACCCCAUCCCUGACCACCAAACCAUCACCUCCCAAACUAUCAAAAGCCUUCCUGCUCCUAUGAUGCUGCUUGCCCUGCUGUGUUCAUCCAGCUCUACACCUUGUUAUCUCAGAUUCUCCAGCAUCUACAGUUCCUACUAUCUCUAAAACAUCAAACUACACUAGCCCCAUUUAUCUGAAUCUGUUCUGUAGCCUACUAUGCUGUAGAAUUUUAACUGUUCAUCCAGAUGCUCCUUAAAUAUUGCAAGAGUACCUGCCUCUGCUACUUGCUCGGGCAGUGGGUUCCCCUGGGUGAAAAAAAAUUUCCUCAGAUCUCCUCUAAACCACUUACUCCUCACUUAAACUCGUACCCUCUCGUCUUAGACAUGUUCCAUCUGCCACAUGGAAAGGAUUCAUACUAUCUACCCUGUCUAUGUCUUUUAUAAUGUUGUAGGCCUCAAUCAGAUGCCUGCUCAGACUCCUCUGCUCCAAGGAAAGCAAUCCCAGUCUAUUCAGUCUCCCUUCACAACUAAGACUUAUCAUCCAGAUAGUAUCCUCGUGAAUGCAUUGUGUCCAUGCAUUCACAUCCUUCUGAUAGUGUGGCCACCAUAUCAGUUUUUCACUUGUUGCUUAACUUUAUAAAGUUGGAACAAGACUUCCUUGCUCCUAUAUGCUACGCCCUGACUAAUAUAGCAAGCAUCCCAUACGCCUUCUUCACCUCCCAAUCCACCAAUGCUGACACCUUCAGGGAUCUAUGGACUUGUACACCAAGGUUCCUUUUUUAAUCAGAACUCCCUAGGGCCCUUCCAUUCAUUGUACUUAUCCUUCCCUUUUUAGACCUCCCAAAAUGCAUGUCUAGGUCCUCUAGUUACAAGUACCGCUCUGCUCCCCUCCUCUGAAGUGUCAUCUGCCCAAAUCUUCGGGCCAACAGCCUCUGCUACAGAAAAGGCUCCUUCCGCCAAAGCUGUGAAUCAAGGGACUGUGCCUAGACUUAGUGGGAGGACAAAAUGUUCUUUUGUGUACAUACAACAGCAUGGGUAAUAUUUCAUUGUAAGUACUUUUGCAUAUCUACAAAUAUAUACAUAUUUUAGGUGAUCACAUAUCUGAACGACUGUCAUUUUAACAUAGUAUUGCAUUC